Molecule: long non-coding RNA, 1511 nt
Organism: Vicugna pacos (alpaca)
Lineage: Eukaryota; Metazoa; Chordata; Mammalia; Artiodactyla; Camelidae
Source: RefSeq, a predicted model, not a curated record
AUCUGGAGGCAGAGGCCAGAGAGAGCUUUGUCAGGAGGGGAACGGAGGGCAUUCCAGACAGGAGCAACGGUAGGAGCAAAAGUGUACAAGAGGAUGGCCCAUUUGGAAGAUAACAAGACCAGCCUUGGCCGAGACAGGUUCCUAUGAAGGAUGAGAGGGGAGUUCGCCUUCUGUUCCUCCACGUGCUGCGGUAGCUGCAGAAAGACUCUCCAACAAGAGGUCAUCCAUCAUACGGAGCCCUCUGUCUAAGCCCCUCCAGGGCUCCCUUCACCCACAAAACAGCCCUCAAACUGAGAUGAUGAAGCCCGUCCAGCUGAGUCUGUCAACUUCCUUGGCUCCAGCUCCUUCUGGGCACCCGGGCCCCAGCCAGGUCCAGAUCUGGUGGUUCCAACACCAGUCAUGUUGCUUUGUCCCCUUCACUGCCUCCCUCCCUCCCUCCUUUUGUGUCUCUGCAGAGGCUUUAGUGGGGAUGCUGACAGUGUAGACUUGGAGGCCAGAUUGCCUGGGACUGAUCCCAACUUGAUGGUCCGAAUAGCACCUGGCCCCUUAUAGGCCACAUUGUUAUUCACUCUGCAUCCAUCCUGCCCCCUUGAGCUCAGUGUCACCUCUCUCUCCACCAGCCAGCUAUUCCUCUUGAUUAGUAGCUCCAAGGGCAGGUGCCAAGCUUCCUUCAUUCUGCUUCUCCAGCAUCCAACACAGUGCCUGACACACAAUAGGUGCCCAAUGUCAAUAACUGGCCAUGCACAUGGCAGCCUGGGUGGUGUGGAUAAGCAGCCCUUAAAAGACCCUCUCUCCAACAAAUAACACACAUAUGUAAAGCCUAAAGCUCCACCUUUGGUCAAUUCUUUGGGCUGGACUGGCUACAGAAAUUUACAGAGCCCACUGCAAAUGAAAACAUAGGCCCUUUGUUACAAAGUUAAGAAUUCCAAGGUGGUGACAACAGAGUAUUAAAUUCAGCCUGCAGCCCUUCUGGGCACAGGGCCCUGCACUACUGCACGGGUUGCACACUGAAGUAGCCUUACCUCUGGAUGAUAGAUGCCUUGAGUGUGUCCUAUUAAAAUAUUAUGACCACCAUCCUUUCUGGGGCAGUUCCUGUAAGAUAGUCAUGCUCAGCUGAAGAGGAACAUUUCCCUUAUUAAGAAAGACCUGCAAAAACUUUGGAAUUAGUGGGCAAGGAUGUAUCCGUUCAUUUAGGUCAAUGAAGCUUUGAUUAAAAACAAAAGCGAGACCCUAAGUAGAUUCUCCUUCAGUGUGAUUGUUAAGUUCCAGGGCUCUCAGCCCCCUGCCCUGCCCUCUGUCCUGCUAAUCAAGCCUUGUGUUGGUACUGUGGUUAUUUGUUGAGUGUUCACUGUAUGCAGGCACUGCUCUAGGACCCAGCAUGAUCAGUGGAGAUGAAGCCUUCCUAGGGCUGGCACUGUAGUGGGCAAGACAGACAGUAAAAAUAAAUAAGGGGACAAGUACACAGUAUAAUAUCAGGUAGUAUUUAGUGCUACUUGGCAAAAAAAAAAAAA